Molecule: ribosomal RNA, 850 nt
Filed under: Hypogymnia lugubris var. lugubris
Lineage: Eukaryota; Fungi; Ascomycota; Lecanoromycetes; Lecanorales; Parmeliaceae
Description: partial large subunit ribosomal RNA
Rfam family: Eukaryotic large subunit ribosomal RNA
Source: RNAcentral
GAAGCGGCAACAGCUCAAAUUUGAAAUCUGGCCCUUUCGGGGCCCGAGUUGUAAUUUGUAGAGAGUGUUUCGGGUGAGACCACGGUCUAAGUUCAUUGGAACAUGGCGUCAUAGAGGGUGAGAAUCCCGUAUGUGACUGUGGAUCGAGCCCAUGUGAAGCCUCUUCGACGAGUCGAGUUGUUUGGGAAUGCAGCUCAAAAUGGGUGGUAAAUUUCAUCUAAAGCUAAAUACUGGCUGGAGACCGAUAGCGCACAAGUAGAGUGAUCGAAAGAUGAAAAGCACUUUGGAAAGAGAGUCAAACAGUACGUGAAAUUGUUGAAAGGGAAGCGCUUGCAACUAGACCUGUCCGUAGGUGAUCAGCCGCUGUUCUCAGUGGUGCACUCGCUCUGCGAUCAGGCCAGCAUCGGUUCGGGCGGUCGGAUAAAGGCCUUGGGAAUGUAGCUUCCUUCGGGGAGUCUUAUAGCCCUCGGUGCAAUGCGGCCAGCCGGGACCGAGGACCGCGCUUCGGCUAGGAUGCUGGCGUAAUGGUUGUAAGCGACCCGUCUUGAAACACGGACCAAGGAGUCUAACAUCUAUGCGAGUGUUUGGGUGUUAAACCCAUGCGCGGAAUGAAAGUGAACGGAGGUGAGAACCCUUAAGGGCGCAUCAUCGACCGAUCCAGAUGUCUUCGGAUGGAUUUGAGUAUGAGCAUAGCUGUUGGGACCCGAAAGGUAUGUUUACCCCCCCCUCUAAUUAGUAAUUAGAUCUAAGCUAACAUUUUUCCAAAGAUGGUGAACUAUGCCUGAAUAGGGUGAAGCCAGAGGAAACUCUGGUGGAGGCUCGCAGCGGUUCUGACGUGCAAAUCGAUCGU